GACGAACGCUGGCGGCGUGCCUAAUACAUGCAAGUUGAGCGCUGAAGGUUGGUACUUGUACCAACUGGAUGAGCAGCGAACGGGUGAGUAACGCGUGGGGAAUCUGCCUUUGAGCGGGGGACAACAUUUGGAAACGAAUGCUAAUACCGCAUAAAAACUUUAAACACAAGUUUUAAGUUUGAAAGAUGCAAUUGCAUCACUCAAAGAUGAUCCCGCGUUGUAUUAGCUAGUUGGUGAGGUAAAGGCUCACCAAGGCGAUGAUACAUAGCCGACCUGAGAGGGUGGUCGGCCACAUUGGGACUGAGACACGGCCCAAACUCCUACGGGAGGCAGCAGUAGGGAAUCUUCGGCAAGGGACGAAAGUCUGACCGAGCAACGCCGCGGGAGUGAAGAAGGUUUUCGGAUCGUAAAACUCUGUUGGUAGAGAAGAACGUUGGUGAGAGUGGAAAGCUCAUCAAGUGACGGUAACUACCCAGAAAGGGACGGCUAACUACGUG
This 497-nucleotide ribosomal RNA is filed under the name uncultured bacterium. RNAcentral's name for it is "partial 16S ribosomal RNA". It matches the Rfam family "Bacterial small subunit ribosomal RNA", at positions 28 to 507 of the family's 1533-position model. The record is from RNAcentral.